This 507-nucleotide ribosomal RNA is filed under the name Guibemantis timidus. RNAcentral describes it as "partial 16S ribosomal RNA". It matches the Rfam family "Bacterial large subunit ribosomal RNA", at positions 1923 to 2597 of the family's 2925-position model. Lineage: Eukaryota; Metazoa; Chordata; Amphibia; Anura; Mantellidae. The record is from RNAcentral.
UUCAACGGCCGCGGUACCCUAACCGUGCGAAGGUAGCAUAAUCACUUGUUCUUUAAAUGAGGACUUGUAUCAACGGCAUCACGAGGGUUAAACUGUCUCCCUUUUCAUAUCAGUGAAACUGAUCUCUCCGUGAAGAAGCGGAGAUAAUACCAUAAGACGAGAAGACCCCAUGGAGCUUUAAACCCAACUACACCCUAGCCUAAUUACUACUUCUUAAUUUUAAGGUCCUGUAUGUUUUGGUUUUAGGUUGGGGUGACCGCGGAGUAUAAACUAACCUCCACAAUGAAUAGAUUUCCUCUUUAUCUAAGAGCUACACCUCCAAGAAUUAGAAUUCUAACAUAAAAUGAUCCGAUAUUUGAUCAACGAACCAAGUUACCCUGGGGAUAACAGCGCAAUCCACUUCAAGAGCUCCUAUCGACAAGUGGGUUUACGACCUCGAUGUUGGAUCAGGGUAUCCCAGUGGUGCAGCAGCUACUAAAGGUUCGUUUGUUCAACGAUUAAAACCCU